Molecule: ribosomal RNA, 445 nt
Filed under: uncultured bacterium
Lineage: Bacteria
Description: partial 16S ribosomal RNA
Rfam family: Bacterial small subunit ribosomal RNA
Source: RNAcentral
GUAGGGAAUAUUGGGCAAUGGAUGCAAGUCUGACCCAGCCAUCCCGCGUGCCGGAAGAAGGCCCUUAGGGUUGUAAACGGCUUUUGACGGUGAAGAAUCGACAGGAUGCGUCCUGUUUUGACGGUAGCCGUUGAAUAAACACCGGCUAACUCCGUGCCAGCAGCCGCGGUAAUACGGAGGGUGCGAGCGUUGUCCGGAUUUAUUGGGUUUAAAGGGUGCGUAGGCUGGAAGGUCAGUCAGCGGUGAAAAGCUGUCGCUUAACGAUAGUCUUGCCGCAGAUACUUCCUUUCUUGGAUGAGGAGGAGGCCACUGGAACGGAUGGUGUAGCGGUGAAAUGCAUAGAUAUCAUCCAGAACACCGAUUGCGAAGGCAGGUGGCUGUACCUUAAUCGACGCUGAUGCACGAAAGCAUGGGGAGCAAACAGGAUUAGAAACCCCUGUAGUCC